This 506-nucleotide ribosomal RNA is filed under the name uncultured bacterium. RNAcentral describes it as "partial 16S ribosomal RNA". It matches the Rfam family "Bacterial small subunit ribosomal RNA", at positions 29 to 523 of the family's 1533-position model. The record is from RNAcentral.
AGUGAACGCUGGCGGCAGGCCUAACACAUGCAAGUCGAACGGCAGCACAGGAGAGCUUGCUCUCUGGGUGGCGAGUGGCGGACGGGUGAGGAAUACAUCGGAAUCUACCCUUUCGUGGGGGAUAACGUAGGGAAACUUACGCUAAUACCGCAUACGAUCUGAGGAUGAAAGCAGGGGACCGCAAGGCCUUGCGCGAUUGGAUGAGCCGAUGUCCGAUUAGCUAGUUGGCGGGGUAAAGGCCCACCAAGGCGACGAUCGGUAGCUGGUCUGAGAGGAUGAUCAGCCACACUGGAACUGAGACACGGUCCAGACUCCUACGGGAGGCAGCAGUGGGGAAUAUUGGACAAUGGGCGCAAGCCUGAUCCAGCCAUGCCGCGUGUGUGAAGAAGGCCUUCGGGUUGUAAAGCACUCUUGUUGGGAAAGAAAUCCUGUCGGCUAAUACCCGGCGGGGAUGACGGUACCCAAAGAAUAAGCACCGGCUAACUUCGUGCCAGCAGCCGCCGUAA